GACGAACGCUGGCGGCGUGCUUAACACAUGCAAGUCGAACGGAAAGGCCCUGCUUUUGUGGGGUGCUCGAGUGGCGAACGGGUGAGUAACACGUGAGUAACCUGCCCUUGACUUUGGGAUAACUUCAGGAAACUGGGGCUAAUACCGGAUAGGAGCUCCUGCUGCAUGGUGGGGGUUGGAAAGUUUCGGCGGUUGGGGAUGGACUCGCGGCUUAUCAGCUUGUUGGUGGGGUAGUGGCUUACCAAGGCUUUGACGGGUAGCCGGCCUGAGAGGGUGACCGGCCACAUUGGGACAGAGAUACGGCCCAGACUCCUACGGGAGGAAGCAGUGGGGAAUAUUGCACAAUGGGCGGAAGCCUGAUGCAGCAACGCCGCGUGCGGGAUGACGGCCUUCGGGUUGGAAACCGAUUUCGCCUGUGACGAAGCGUGAGUGACGGUAAUGGGUAAAGAAGCACCGGCUAACUACGU
This 467-nucleotide ribosomal RNA is filed under the name uncultured bacterium. Its description in RNAcentral is "partial 16S ribosomal RNA". It matches the Rfam family "Bacterial small subunit ribosomal RNA", at positions 28 to 506 of the family's 1533-position model. The record is from RNAcentral.